UACGGAGGGGGCUAGCGUUGUUCGGAAUUACUGGGCGUAAAGCGUGCGCAGGCGGUUGUGCAAGACCGAUGUGAAAUCCCCGGGCUUAACCUGGGAAUGGCAUUGGUGACUGCACGGCUAGAGUGUGUCAGAGGGGGGUAGAAUUCCACGUGUAGCAGUGAAAUGCGUAGAGAUGUGGAGGAAUACCGAUGGCGAAGGCAGCCCCCUGGGAUAACACUGACGCUCAUGCACGAAAGCGUGGGGAGCAAACAGG
This 253-nucleotide ribosomal RNA is filed under the name uncultured bacterium. RNAcentral describes it as "partial 16S ribosomal RNA". It matches the Rfam family "Bacterial small subunit ribosomal RNA", at positions 524 to 776 of the family's 1533-position model. The record is from RNAcentral.